Molecule: ribosomal RNA, 442 nt
Filed under: uncultured bacterium
Lineage: Bacteria
Description: partial 16S ribosomal RNA
Rfam family: Bacterial small subunit ribosomal RNA
Source: RNAcentral
CUACGGGUUGCAGCAGUCGAGAAUCUUCCACAAUGGGCGAAAGCCUGAUGGAGCGACGCCGCGUGCAGGAUGACAGCCUUCGGGUUGUAAACUGCUUUUCUAUGGGAACAAUUUCGUGAGCUUACCAUAGGAAUAAGGGGUUGCUAACUCUGUGCCAGCAGCAGCGGUAAUACAGAGACCUCAAGCGUUAUCCGGAUUUAUUGGGCGUAAAGGGUGGGUAGGUGGAUAUGGUAGUCAGGUGUUAAAUCAUCGAGCUUAACUCGAUGGCUGCACUUGAAACGCCAUCUCUAGAGAUAGGUAGAGGCUAACGGAACUCAUGGUGUAGUAGUGAAAUGCGUUGAUAUCAUGGGGAACACCAAAGGCGAAGGCAGUUAGCUGGACCUUAUCUGACACUGAGCCACGAAAGCGUGGGUAGCGAAGGGGAUUAGAUACCCCGGUAGUC